CACCAUCAAGAAGGAUGAGAUAACUUCUGUACUUUUUCAAAAUGAGAUUCUCAGAUGGAAGAAUUGAGCUUCAAGUUCAGAUGGUGACUCAGUUAUGACGGUGACUGGAGGUGGUGGUGAUAAAGGAUAAAGGGGCAGAAGAUCAUAAGGUGGGCAGUCUAGAUCCAAGUCAAGGGACUACAGCAAGAUCAGAUAUUACAGGUGUGAUGAGUUGGGACAUCGAGUCAAAGAUUAUCCACAACUUAGAGAUUAGACAAAGACUACUGUGGUGACGGUCAAAGAUAGCGAUACAGAAGAAAGUGAUGAUGUUCUUUUAGUGUCUGAUGAGGUAUCUACUUCUUUCCCAUAGUGAAUUUUAGAUUCUACAUGUCGCAUCAUAUUUGUUAUGAAGAGAUGCUGUUUGACUUCUUAGAGAG
RNAcentral lists this long non-coding RNA (416 nucleotides) under Elaeis guineensis (African oil palm). RNAcentral describes it as "long non-coding RNA (EGUI_LNC074226)". Lineage: Eukaryota; Viridiplantae; Streptophyta; Magnoliopsida; Arecales; Arecaceae. The record is from RNAcentral.